This 492-nucleotide ribosomal RNA is filed under the name uncultured bacterium. RNAcentral's name for it is "partial 16S ribosomal RNA". It matches the Rfam family "Bacterial small subunit ribosomal RNA", at positions 29 to 507 of the family's 1533-position model. The record is from RNAcentral.
AGUGAACGCUGGCGGUAGGCCUAACACAUGCAAGUCGAACGGCAGCACAGUAAGAGCUUGCUCUUACGGGUGGCGGGUGGCGGACGGGUGAGGAGUACAUCGGAAUCUACUUUUUCGUGGGGGAUAACGUAGGGAAACUUACGCUAAUACCGCAUACGACCUACGGGUGAGAGCAGGGGAUCUUCGGACCUUGCGCGUUUGAAUGAGCCGAUGUCGGAUUAGCUAGUUGGCGGGGUAAAGGCCCACCAAGGCGACGAUCCGUAGCUGGUCUGAGAGGAUGAUCAGCCACACUGGAACUGAGACACGGUCCAGACUCCUACGGGAGGCAGCAGUAGGGAAUAUUGGGCAAUGGGCGCAAGCCUGAUCCAGCCAUACCGCGUGGGUGAAGAAGGCCUUCGGGUUGUAAAGCCCUUUUGUUGGGAAAGAAAAGCAGCAGGUUAAUACCCCGCUGUUCUGACGGUACCCAAAGAAUAAGCACCGGCUAACUUCGUG